ACAUGUUAUUAAACUGUGUAUUUGGCAAGCGAAAAUUGGAAGCGGGAUUAAAAGAAUAGUUAUCAAAACUAUUAAAGUAUCUGUUGUUUAAUGAGUAUCUUAAAGACAAUAUUAAUCCAAUUGCUGAUAACAUAUUGAGAUGGCAAGAAUCAUGGUUGCUGCAGAGAACAGACCACAAGAAAAAUUGACGGUGUUGGGUACAGGUGACUUUAGUCGUGCACUAACGAAGCGACUAUCUUUGGCUGGUUAUGACGUCAUUAUGGGAAGCCGGAAUCCUGAAAGAAGUCGAAGAUUGCCACAUCUGUCAUCGUUCAGCAUUGCAUCCAUAAAUGAUGCUUUAGAGCAUUCUGGCAUCAUCUUUUUUGCUAUUCCCAUGCAUGGAUAUGAUAGCUUGGUGGCAUCAUCGGGCAGCCAACUAAAUGGAAAGAUUGUUGUCGACGUAAGCAAUCAAACGCAGACCUCUUUCAGAGGAUUAUCAAAUGCUGAGUACCUAUCCAGUCUAAUACCUAAGGCUCACGUUGUGAAAGGCUUCAAUGUGAUAUCUGCAUGGGCAUUGGAACAAGAUAUUUAUGGAGGAAGUCGG
This is a long non-coding RNA of Xenia sp. Carnegie-2017, 583 nucleotides long. RefSeq lists it as uncharacterized. The transcript is spliced from 3 exons. NCBI's taxonomy places the organism in Eukaryota, Metazoa, Cnidaria, Anthozoa, Malacalcyonacea, Xeniidae. The record is from RefSeq and is a predicted model, not a curated record.